Molecule: long non-coding RNA, 558 nt
Organism: Capsella rubella
Lineage: Eukaryota; Viridiplantae; Streptophyta; Magnoliopsida; Brassicales; Brassicaceae
Exons: 2
Source: RefSeq, a predicted model, not a curated record
UCUCUCUCUCUCUCUCUCUCUCUCUCUCGUUCGCGACCGAAGAAGCGAAAGGCGACGAUUCAACCGAUCGUCUCAUUCCGGUUGAAUCUGCCGGAGUGAAUCAACUCCGGACGUCGUUCUCGGUAGCUGAUCAACUCCAGAGAUUGGUUUGGUGUGCGGCGGGUUGGGUUUCUUAACUCGUUGACGAAGAAGAAUUGGGAUCGGGUAGAAGUUUCCAAUCGAAUCUUGCUCAAGUUCAUGCGUUAGAAAUCAGAGGCUUGGGAGCACAAAUCGGCAAUAGAAGCUUCACGUGACUAUGGCAAAGAAGAAGAAAACAAAGAAGUCUGAAGUUGGUGGGGAGAGUGAAAACUUCACCCGUUCACGGACAUACAUGGCACAGUUUCAUCAUUACCAACCAACUCUCUUCACGGACACAACAGAGAAGUCUGAAGUUUGUAUAUAAAUUUGUCAAGUCAUUUGAACUUCUCAUCGCAUUCAAUAUCUCUUUGUAUUGCAUUCGCUUUCUCUUUGACAACAAUUGUAUUUCAUUCACUUUGUAUUUCACAAACAUUAUAUUCA